Molecule: ribosomal RNA, 822 nt
Filed under: bacterium
Lineage: Bacteria
Description: bacterial SSU rRNA
Rfam family: Bacterial small subunit ribosomal RNA
Source: RNAcentral
ACGAACGCUGGCGGCGUGCUUAACACAUGCAAGUCGAACGAUGAACCGCUUUCGGGCGGGGAUUAGUGGCGAACGGGUGAGUAACACGUGGGCAAUCUGCCCUGCACUCUGGGACAAGCCCUGGAAACGGGGUCUAAUACCGGAUACUCACUGCCUUGGGCAUCCUUGGCGGUGGAAAGCUCCGGCGGUGCAGGAUGAGCCCGCGGCCUAUCAGCUAGUUGGUGAGGUAAUGGCUCACCAAGGCGACGACGGGUAGCCGGCCUGAGAGGGCGACCGGCCACACUGGGACUGAGACACGGCCCAGACUCCUACGGGAGGCAGCAGUGGGGAAUAUUGCACAAUGGGCGAAAGCCUGAUGCAGCGACGCCGCGUGAGGGAUGACGGCCUUCGGGUUGUAAACCUCUUUCAGCAGGGAAGAAGCGAGAGUGACGGUACCUGCAGAAGAAGCGCCGGCUAACUACGUGCCAGCAGCCGCGGUAAUACGUAGGGCGCAAGCGUUGUCCGGAAUUAUUGGGCGUAAAGAGCUCGUAGGCGGCUUGUCACGUCGGUUGUGAAAGCCCGGGGCUUAACCCCGGGUCUGCAGUCGAUACGGGCAGGCUAGAGUUCGGUAGGGGAGAUCGGAAUUCCUGGUGUAGCGGUGAAAUGCGCAGAUAUCAGGAGGAACACCGGUGGCGAAGGCGGAUCUCUGGGCCGAUACUGACGCUGAGGAGCGAAAGCGUGGGGAGCGAACAGGAUUAGAUACCCUGGUAGUCCACGCCGUAAACGGUGGGCACUAGGUGUGGGCAACAUUCCACGUUGUCCGUGCCGCAGCUAACGCAUUAA